GUCGAGCGGACAGAUGGGAGCUUGCUCCCUGAUGUUAGCGGCGGACGGGUGAGUAACACGUGGGUAACCUGCCUGUAAGACUGGGAUAACUCCGGGAAACCGGGGCUAAUACCGGAUGGUUGUUUGAACCGCAUGGUUCAAACAUAAAAGGUGGCUUCGGCUACCACUUACAGAUGGACCCGCGGCGCAUUAGCUAGUUGGUGAGGUAACGGCUCACCAAGGCGACGAUGCGUAGCCGACCUGAGAGGGUGAUCGGCCACACUGGGACUGAGACACGGCCCAGACUCCUACGGGAGGCAGCAGUAGGGAAUCUUCCGCAAUGGACGAAAGUCUGACGGAGCAACGCCGCGUGAGUGAUGAAGGUUUUCGGAUCGUAAAGCUCUGUUGUUAGGGAAGAACAAGUACCGUUCGAAUAGGGCGGUACCUUGACGGUACCUAACCAGAAAGCCACGGCUAACUACGUGCCAGCAGCCGCGGUAAUACGUAGGUGGCAAGCGUUGUCCGGAAUUAUUGGGCGUAAAGGGCUCGCAGGCGGUUUCUUAAGUCUGAUGUGAAAGCCCCCGGCUCAACCGGGGAGGGUCAUUGGAAACUGGGGAACUUGAGUGCAGAAGAGGAGAGUGGAAUUCCACGUGUAGCGGUGAAAUGCGUAGAGAUGUGGAGGAACACCAGUGGCGAAGGCGACUCUCUGGUCUGUAACUGACGCUGAGGAGCGAAAGCGUGGGGAGCGAACAGGAUUAGAUACCCUGGUAGUCCACGCCGUAAACGAUGAGUGCUAAGUGUUAGGGGGUUUCCGCCCCUUAGUGCUGCAGCUAACGCAUUAAGCACUCCGCCUGGGGAGUACGGUCGCAAGACUGAAACUCAAAGGAAUUGACGGGUGCCCGCACCAACGGUGGAGCAUGUGGUUUAAUUCGAAGCAACGCGAAGAACCUUACCAGGUCUUGACAUCCUCUGACAAUCCUAGAGAUAGGACGUCCCCUUCGGGGGCAGAGUGACAGGUGGUGCAUGGUUGUCGUCAGCUCGUGUCGUGAGAUGUUGGGUUAAGUCCCGCAACGAGCGCAACCCUUGAUCUUAGUUGCCAGCAUUCAGUUGGGCACUCUAAGGUGACUGCCGGUGACAAACCGGAGGAAGGUGGGGAUGACGUCAAAUCAUCAUGCCCCUUAUGACCUGGGCUACACACGUGCUACAAUGGACAGAACAAAGGGCAGCGAAACCGCGAGGUUAAGCCAAUCCCACAAAUCUGUUCUCAGUUCGGAUCGCAGUCUGCAACUCGACUGCGUGAAGC
This 1282-nucleotide ribosomal RNA is filed under the name Bacillus sp. EN-6. RNAcentral's name for it is "bacterial SSU rRNA". It matches the Rfam family "Bacterial small subunit ribosomal RNA", at positions 61 to 1326 of the family's 1533-position model. Lineage: Bacteria; Bacillati; Bacillota; Bacilli; Caryophanales; Bacillaceae. The record is from RNAcentral.